CCUACGGGGGGCAGCAGUGAGGAAUAUUGGUCAAUGGCCGGAAGGCUGAACCAGCCAUGCCGCGUGAAGGUCAGUGCCCUAUGGGCGUUAAACUUCUUUUGUGCGGGAGCAAUAAUGGUCACGUGUGGCCAGACGAGAGUACCGUACGAAUAAGCAUCGGCUAACUCCGUGCCAGCAGCCGCGGGAAUACGGGGGAUGCAAGCGUUAUACGGAUUUUUUGGGUUUAAAGGGUGCGUAGGCUGUGAGGUAAGUCAGCGGUGAAAUGCCCCGGGCUAACGGGGUGAAGUGCCAUUGAUACUGCCUUGCUGGAAUGCGGAUGCGGUGGGAGGAAUGUGUGGUGUAGCGGUGAAAUGCAUAGAUAUCACACAGAACACCGAUUGCGAAGGCAUCUCACGAAUCCGCGAUUGACGCUGAUGCACGAAAGCGUGGGUAUCAAACAGGAUUAGAUACCCGAGUAGUC
This 460-nucleotide ribosomal RNA is filed under the name uncultured bacterium. RNAcentral describes it as "partial 16S ribosomal RNA". It matches the Rfam family "Bacterial small subunit ribosomal RNA", at positions 338 to 795 of the family's 1533-position model. The record is from RNAcentral.